UGAACACCUAGCAGACGGACCAGACUGUGAACAGGAGCAUUUCCUACGCACGGGGCCAUCUGUGUGUCUCUUUGCUUCUCUGGCUCCAUACUAGUUUUAUCCUGCCAGGAGGAAAUGCUGUGCUCUCUCCUUUUUCACUUAGGAGCAAUAGAGACAGGAUAGUUCCUGCCUUAAAAUUCUGCAUCAAAAUAUUUUUGUCAUAUUGUCUCAAAAGAAAGAAAAGAAGAAAGAGAGAAAGAAAGAAAGAGAAAGGAAGGAAGAAAGAGAAAGAAAGGAAGAAAGAAAGAAAGAAAGAAA
This 297-nucleotide long non-coding RNA is filed under the name Rattus norvegicus (Norway rat). RNAcentral describes it as "long non-coding RNA NONRATT010705". The record is from RNAcentral. Lineage: Eukaryota; Metazoa; Chordata; Mammalia; Rodentia; Muridae.